This 272-nucleotide long non-coding RNA is filed under the name Phoenix dactylifera (date palm). RNAcentral's name for it is "long non-coding RNA (PDAC_LNC013227)". Lineage: Eukaryota; Viridiplantae; Streptophyta; Magnoliopsida; Arecales; Arecaceae. The record is from RNAcentral.
AGGAGGCUAGGAUUUUUUCAUUCAAUCAUCAAUUUCCUCAUACAUGAGAGGGGUGGUCUUUAUAUAGACCUUACACAUUGAUCAAAUCAAGUAAUCAAUUGAUCAAAUCAAUCAAUUGACACCGAUUAAAUUUGGACCCUUACAUCAACUAAUCCCUUACCAAAAUUGGUCCACUAAAUUAACCCAAUUACAUAAACCCAAUUGACUAGUCUAAUAACAAAACAACUGACCAAAUUGACUUGACUAAGACAAAAGCAAAUAAUGCAAUAAAA